GGUCAAGCGGUUAAGACACCGCCCUUUCACGGCGGUAACACGGGUUCGAGUCCCGUCGAGA
RNAcentral lists this transfer RNA (61 nucleotides) under Staphylococcus aureus. Its description in RNAcentral is "tRNA-Glu". It matches the Rfam family "tRNA", at positions 9 to 63 of the family's 71-position model. Rfam says of the family: Transfer RNA (tRNA) molecules are approximately 80 nucleotides in length. Their secondary structure includes four short double-helical elements and three loops (D, anti-codon, and T loops). The record is from RNAcentral. Lineage: Bacteria; Bacillati; Bacillota; Bacilli; Caryophanales; Staphylococcaceae.